Molecule: ribosomal RNA, 504 nt
Filed under: uncultured bacterium
Lineage: Bacteria
Description: partial 16S ribosomal RNA
Rfam family: Bacterial small subunit ribosomal RNA
Source: RNAcentral
AUUGAACGCUGGCGGCAUGCCUUACACAUGCAAGUCGAACGGCAGCAUGGAGAGCUUGCUCUCUGAUGGCGAGUGGCGAACGGGUGAGUAAUGCAUCGGAACGUACCGUGUAAUGGGGGAUAACGUAGCGAAAGGUACGCUAAUACCGCAUACGACCUGAGGGUGAAAGCAGGGGAUCGCAAGACCUUGCGUUAUACGAGCGGCCGAUGUCAGAUUAGCUAGUUGGUGAGGGAAAGGCCCACCAAGGCGACGAUCUGUAGCGGGUCUGAGAGGAUGAUCCGCCACACUGGGACUGAGACACGGCCCAGACUCCUACGGGAGGCAGCGGUGGGGAAUUUUGGACACUGGGGGCAACCCUGAUCCAGCCGUGCCGCGUGAGUGAAGAAGGCCUUCGGGUUGUAAAGCUCUUUCGGCCGGGAAGAAAUCGCACAGGCUAAUACUCUGUGUGGAUGACGGUACCGGCAUAAGAAGCACCGGCUAACUACGUGCCAGCCGCCGCUGUAA